GCGUUUGCAUUUAGACUUAAUAGAGAAGCUGGUAAAGUCCAGCACGGUCCCGCCACUGUAAGAGGAGUUUAGCUGCAGGUUUGGCCACUGGAGUAUUCUGGGAAGGCGCAGCGAAGCGAUGAAUCAAGUCAGGAGAACUGCCUGUUUUUCA
This 151-nucleotide non-coding RNA is filed under the name uncultured Anaerovibrio sp. The record is from RNAcentral. Lineage: Bacteria; Bacillati; Bacillota; Negativicutes; Selenomonadales; Selenomonadaceae.